RNAcentral lists this ribosomal RNA (468 nucleotides) under uncultured bacterium. Its description in RNAcentral is "partial 16S ribosomal RNA". It matches the Rfam family "Bacterial small subunit ribosomal RNA", at positions 28 to 507 of the family's 1533-position model. The record is from RNAcentral.
GACGAACGCUGGCGGCGUGCUUAACACAUGCAAGUCGAACGGAAAGGCCCUGCUUUUGUGGGGUGCUCGAUUGGCGAACGGGUGAGUAACACGUGAGUAACCUGCCCUUGACUUUGGGAUAACUUCACGAAACUGGGGCUAAUACCGCAUAGGAGCUCCUGCUGCAUGGUGGGGGUUGGAAAGUUUCGGCGGUUGGGGAUGGACUCGCGGCUUAUCGGCUUGUUGGUGGGGUAGUGGCUUACCAAGGCUUUGACGGGUAGCCGGCCUGAGAGGGUGAACGGCCACAUUGGGACUGAGAUACGGCCCAGACUCCUACGGGAGGCAGCAGUGGGGAGUAUUGCAAAAUGGGCGGAAGCCUGAUGCAGCAACGCCGCGUGCGGGAUGACGGGUUACGGGUUAUAAACCGAUUUCGCCUGUGACGAAGCGUGAGUGACGGUAAUGGGUAAGGAAGCACCGGCUAACUACGUG